UCAGUGCCAUGACUGACUUGGAGUGUCACACGUCAUUCUUAUUCACAAAUGUCGUUUUAAAACAACGCGAUUUGAGCAUCACGGAUUUGUCGAACGUGGGUAAGUAAAAAAGGCUCGUUUUUUGGGGAUUUUAUCUACCUGUUUUUUUUUUAAUGUAAUAUUAGUAGUGAAUAGUCCUCCAACUAUUACUCUUACAGAACAUCCAUUUUGAUUUUUUAUUAUUGAUUGAAACUGGCGUUACAACAACAAAUUAUUUGAGACCACCUCAAGGGUGCGUUUCUGCGUCAACCUUUUGUUGAACGGUUGAGGUCGACUGCUGUUUUGUUGUCAACUGCCGCUAGGGGGUUGUACCAUGGGAAAGUUCAACCUCUGUUUUUGCGUCAAGCAAAAUUCCGAGUUGAACUAGAAAAGUUGAAUUCGCUCAACCGUGGUCUGGACCACGGUUGAUCUUUAGUUCAACUGCAUAUCAUACAUCUCCCCGCCCCUUUUUUUGCACACCACAGUCAUUAUAUAAAUAAAUGAGGCAACGGUGUUUCAUUAUUAUACUUUUUUAUUAUUUUUCGUUCAGGCAUUACAUUAUAAUUUGAAUGUUUCUAAUUUAUCAGAGAUAAAUCUUAAUGAAAAUGGAAAGUGAAAGUAGUAUUUUGCCUAAUAAAAGUGAUAAUAAUGCCUUAAAGGAGUGUUGGAAUGGUGGGAAAAGGGCAUCACAAUUGAACAUUGAUAUGGAAGCAACAGAAUUGUUACUGAAUCUCUUAAAAGAGAAGUGGAGUCUCUUUAUUGACAACAAAACAAA
This is a long non-coding RNA of Daphnia pulex (common water flea), 793 nucleotides long. RefSeq lists it as uncharacterized. The transcript is spliced from 2 exons. NCBI's taxonomy places the organism in Eukaryota, Metazoa, Arthropoda, Branchiopoda, Diplostraca, Daphniidae. The record is from RefSeq and is a predicted model, not a curated record.